CGAACUAAGCCUGAACAAUUCCUUAAAAAGUCGAGUUUGGACAAUUCCCAACUCUAUAAGCAAAAGUUCGACUCGACACAGCUUAAUCUUGGUCGUCCAUUUUAAAUUAAAGGUGAGAUGGAUACUCUCGAGAUGUGUUCUAGAGUUAAAUUAAAAAAAAAAUUGACAAUUGAUAGACGUAUACAAGGUAUCUAUCUUAUGAGAACCAUUUCGAAAAGAAUCAAACCUUGUAAAAGAGACUCAAAUCUUUGUAUGUACUUAAACAUGAUGAAGUAGUAGUAGUACUAAGUGUAGUAGCCAGUAGCCAUUUGGGCAUUUGUCUUGAACCUCGAUCGGACCAAAUCUGGUCUGACCCAGUACGCUCCUCCAGUCUUCUAACCCUCUCUCUCAUUCAUGUCCCUUUGUGGCGCAACAGUGAGAAGACAAGACCCCAGCAUGUUUUAACCCUUUUAUCCUGUCAAACCGUAGUACAGUGUUCCGUGUUCUGUAUUCUCCCUCCCUCCCACUGCCUUGCGUAGAUAGAAGCCAUGAAACGGAAUGAUGAGAAAAAGGGAAAAACAAAAGAUAAAGGGAUCGAUCGAUGGAGGAGGAAAAAAAGAUAAUGGGUGUCUUGAGUUUCUGCCAUGCCAGAAUAUAUAUUGCAGCAGAGAAAAGAAAGAAAAGAAGACCUCCAACUGACUUGUGGGCCUCAAAAGCAGCUCCCACUAUGCUCAUUUCCUCCGCGUUUUAGCUUCCUCCACCAUAUGCUUCCCACUUGAGAAAGAAAGAACCGACCUCCAGCUCAAACACCACCUUCUAUGG
Molecule: long non-coding RNA, 801 nt
Filed under: Zostera marina
Lineage: Eukaryota; Viridiplantae; Streptophyta; Magnoliopsida; Alismatales; Zosteraceae
Description: long non-coding RNA (ZMAR_LNC000956)
Source: RNAcentral